GAAGUCCCAGAAACCACGUACAGUUUGUGGCCACCCACUUCAGCGUUUCUUGGCAUAGAAAUGACAAGGGCCGUGCAGGAAUCAUCUUUGUUUCUGCCACAGUGGGGACUGACGUCUUGCCCGAAGUAGAUUCUUCACACGUACUCAUGUGACUGAAUGGAUGUCCUCUCCAGAACAGACUGGAGCUGUCCUGUCUCAGAGGUGCCUCCGUUGGUGGCCUUGAACUUGGUUUGCAGACAAAAGUGCAACACUGCACCACAGGAGAUGGGGCAGGGGCCUGCUGCUGGGUGUGGCCUCUCUCUCCUGGGCUGAGUGGACAGCUGGCCGAGGGCGUCUGUGCUCUUGCCUCUUGGGUGAGCUGACUUCUCACUGGACUGGUGAUGGAGGGGAAGGCACGAGGCCUGUGUGUCUGUGGACCUGAAGGGGGGCAGGGUGCAGUUGAAGGAAAACGUCAGGUGUAGGAGUGGGUGGGUGCACGGAGAGGCUGGAGGGGGGAAAAAACACUCUUGGAAAAAUCAAGGUUUAUUGCGACUUCAAGUCCCUGAGUCUUGAGGCAGCAGGAGGAGGGAAGGGGGAGCCCCAGAUCGGAGCCAGCAGGCACCCAGGGAUUUACAGCACGGUAUGGCUGGAGGCCCCAAAGCCACGAGACACAAUUCAUCAAAGAGCUGCUGCUGCUGGAGCAGAGAUGAAAGGCUUUCCAGGCCCGUCGGUGAUGCGCUUGCAGCUUUCCCCGGGGCAGCCACCUGCGGUGAGUAACAGGAGACACGGCUCCUCCCGGCGCCGAGGCCUGCGAGUCCAGAGCCCCCGGCUGCCCGGGGAGGGAGGCAUCCGGGAGCCCAGGGGAGGUUGGGAGGUGGGCGGGGCCUGGGCGGGGGCGGGGCCCCGGUGAGCCGGCGCACGUGACCGCCCCCUCCCUCCCCGCGUCGCCGCCGGGCGUGGCUGCGCCGUCCCCCGGCCGGGCCUCGCCCGUGACCCCGGCCCCUCCAGCGCCGCGCAGCACCGCGCGCAGGAGGCCCCGCCUGCCUGCCCCCCGCCUGCGCGGGACCGGCCGGUCGCCUCCCCCUCCUCCCUCUCCUCGCCCCUCCCGACUUUUCAGUCCGGACUGCGGGGGCCGGAGGUUAAAGCUUCAUUCCUGAGUGCUGCGUUCCAGAAACUUUUACAGAUGCCCCGGCGUUCUUGGAAGACGUUGAGAGGAAAUCCGAGCGUCCGACAUCCCCACCCAGACGCUCCAGAACCAGAGGGCAUCAACUCUCCAGAUCGUUUGACUUUCCCCGCUGUUAUUUGGAAAACGUCUGCGGGUAAAUUCCGAGGAAGGCCCAGGGGAUAUGGCUGGAGCACCUACAGCCUCAGUGUUAGAGACAAAGGCUGUUAGUUACCUUUCCAAGCAUGUUUACAUUUGAAGACAGGCACCAAGAACUCUUCACUGAAGGAAUUGGUGAUGAUGUUGGCAUUUCAGGCACGGUGGCAGCUGAAGCCUUUUCUGGCGGGGCACCCAGCCUGAGGCCGGUCCAGCACCGGAAUUCUGCUCGUCCUCUCCUGACCUACGGCAGGAUUUUGACGUCAGCUGUUACAGAAAUGAGGCCUGGAGACACAAAAUCAUCUGCCUGAGGAGUGAAUAGGAGAGCAGGACUCGACUCCAAGCCUGGGCUUAUCCCAUUUCUCGGAGGUUCCCUCCCCGGCGUGACUGGUAGCCUGGUUGGUCUCACAUCCCACUAACUCAAAAUGCUGAGGCCUCUCCAUCUUAAAGACAAACUGAUAAACCUUUGCCAGUGCCUGUCUCCAGCUCUUAGCCUUCUCCUGCUUCCCCCUGUACAUACCCGCAAGCCUGCCUUACGCUCUUGGGUUCCUCAGUCACUGCAAGCUAGUGUCCGCCUCCCUGGAAUGGCCCCUGCCAAGUUCCCUCUGUCCCCAGGACACUCUGUGGCCCUCGCCGUACCCGAGUCCUGUUUAACCCCAUCACAGCCCCUCUUCCUCCCAACAUGCCUCCCCUUAGCUUCUCUCCUGGAUUUCCUUCUACCUCUCCGGCCAUCCUGCCCUAGUGCCCUCGGCUCAGCCCAUCACCUGGAUGCUGCGAAUCUCCAGGUUUGGGGUCCAGGCCAUCUUCUCUUUACAAACCCCACGUUCUCCUUGGUUGGCUCAUUUCCUCAUGUGGCUUCAGUGACCACCACCAUGUCGACAACUCCCCAACCUCUCUCUCUAGCUCAGAUAUUUCCCUGUAGCUUGAGAUCUUCAUAUCGCUCUGAACGUGGAGUUCUGGUCCUGAAUCCACCACUUACCAGCUGGGUGACUGUGAUGGUUAAUUUUAUGUGUCAGCUUGACAGGGUGCCCAGAUAUUGGGUCAAACAUGAUUCCAGGUGUGUCUGUGAGGGUGUUUCUGGAUGAGAUCAGCAUUUGAAUACACUGAGCAAAGCAGGUGGCCCUUCCUAAUAUGGGUGGGCCUCAUCUGAUCCAAGGGAGACCUGAAGAGAACAAAAGGGCUACCCCUCUGUGAGUGACAGGGGAACUCCUCCUGCUGACCGCGGAGCGGGGACAUCGGUCUUUUUCUGCUUUUGGACUUGAACUGAAACAGUGGCUCAUCUUGAGUCUGUUGGGUUGGAACUUACACCGUUGGCUUUUCUGGUGUCAGAACUUCAGACUCAGGCCAGAACUGUGCCAUCAGAUCUCUUGGGACUCCAGCUUGUUUUUGUUGUUGUUGUUUAAAGAUUUUUUUUGAUGUGGACCAUUUUUUAAAGUCUUUAUUGAAUUUGUGACAAUAUUGCUACUGUUUUAUGUUUUGGUUUUUUGGCCACGAGGCAUGUGGGAUCUUAGCUCCCUGAUCAGGGAUCAAACCUGCCCCCCUGCAUUGGAAGGCGAAGUCUUAAUCAUUGGACUACCAGGGAAGUCCCCCCACUCCAGCUUGUUGACUGCAUGUCUUGGGACUUCUCAGCCCCCAAAAUUGGUAAGCCAAUUCCUUAUAAUAAAUCUUUUAGAUAUAGAUAUAUAAUAGAUAGAUAUAAAUAGAUAUAUCUCCUAUUAGUACUUGAGUUUUCUUACUAUCCUAGGGUUUACUCUAUAGAUCAAGGAACCAGUGAGGUUUCUGUCAACUUCUAAUAUCCAUUCCCGUUGUACAUUUGGGAAGCAGGAAAAUGACCACAGGUGGGUUUGUGGACCACAGUGAGGCGUACAUGGAUCAGGAGCCCUUUAUUACUAGAUCAUCAUAUGACACUAACAGGGGCCAUAAUGGUACUUUGGGUCCCCAUCAUUUCAAACCCUGUAUCCAACAGUCCUCAGAAGAUCUGGGCAGUCUCCUUUCCCCACUGUACGGGUAUCUGGGUAAAUGGUCGUAAGUCCCUUUGGAGGAAAGAGUGAGGUGUCACGAGUGACCCAACCUUUCCUUUAGUUGAUGGAUGUGGGUCUGAAGACUGGCUCAGAUCUGGAAACUGCGAAAAGGACUGUGGCUCUCCACCGGGGCUCCAGACAUCUUGGUGCUUAUUAUUCUCGGCCUCUUUUGCUCACCCGUAUGUACCAGGCAGUGACUUUGCUGCUUGCCCAUCCGUCUUGCCUCUGGGAGCACCAUGUUCUAAUAGUCAUGCCCACAGCUCACCACAGGUCCGGGUCCUUGGUUGCCAUUCUGCCUUUGCUGUUCGUUACAAUAAUUGUGCCUAUCCUGUUUCUCACGGUUAAGUGCUGCCCCUGGCCUUUGAUAUUCUAGGGUCCAGUACCAUCCUCAUUACCACCGAAAAGCCCAGACUAAACCGCGUCUCUUAUCAUCAGCCCCAGACUACAGAGGGGUCGCCACUGACUGAAGCAUCUUAAUGAUGGUGGUUCAGCUCUCCCAGUGCUGUCCUCAGCACCUGGGCAGAUGUUUGUCCUCCAGGCCCUUCUGAGGGAAAGUCAGCUGGUGUGUCUGGUCUCACGCUAGGCUAGUCCUAGUGCAUCCAUGUCUCCAGCCUUUUGAUCCCUCCUUCCAUGGUUGAGCACAAUGAUCCUGGCAUUGCUUUUUCCAAGCUUGUAAGAGCCAUCAGGACUUCCCUCUCUCAUCCCGCCCCUAGGCCCUUGCCCAUGAUGUGAAAUCCUUGUUCCAGGGGAAUGGUUCCAUAUUAAUAAACGUGCCCUGACUCGGAGUCUUCCCUCCGUGACCCGGCAUUCUUCAGAUGCACCCCCGGCACACACUUGCAGCUCCUGCCCAUCCACGUUCACCCACUCCUGCGGCUCCUCUGGCAUAGAAUUCUCCCCCCUUCUCAGGCCCAGCGAAGGAGCCUUCACGUGGGUUAUCCUGAACCUGACCCUAGUCAUUGGUCUGGUGGCCAGCAAGAAGGGGAGAGGGGAGAUCGUCAGAGAGCAGUCGUCAUUGUGGCGGCUUUUGCCUCGUUGGAGGCUUGUGCAGAACGUACAAGGAGAGGCUGCUCUCCUUUAACGAGGUGGAGGGGCCGCUUCUGCAAACUCAGGAGGUUCAGGGGAAUCUGGGAGCUUCAGGGUUCUCAAAUGCAGCCACCCAGAAAUACCCACUCCCCCAUUUCAGUCCCUCAGUCCCUCCCAGUCUGUAUCAGGCCCUGACGUGGAUGGAAGAGAGUCGCUUUUCUGGAAGUCUUGUUUGGUUCUCAGCUUGGUCUACCUUCUGGCUCCAGGAGAGGGUUUUUGUUUGUUUGUUUAACAGUGCCAAGGAAGCCUCUGUCUCUCACAGUUUGCUUUGGGUUAGUCAUUGAUUUCCCCCAAGCCUGUCAUUUUCUCUUUUCAGUGCCUCAAAUGAUGGUCAGCAAUGGCCACCAACCCCACCGUCCUUUAAUUACUCUUUGCCCUGUACCUCCCAUGUGCCAGAGAUAUUGCAAUAAAGUCCAUCUCUUUCAACCUGUAUUCCCUUUCAGCUCACCCCCCAGUGAAGGUCUCAGCAAUUACACUGCUACAUCAGGCCAAGGUCUUUCCGUACUCCCACUCGACCACCAGAGAUGAGGGUCCUCACUGCCAGCUAGGUGGCAAGUGAUCAACUCCGGAAUCGCAUCUUUAGAAUUUCCUCUGGAGAGUAUUCUUGGUACCAACGGUCUUAGGGUAAGCAUCCUUCAAGCAGAGUCUGAGACAGGGAUUUGGGUUACUGGGAUUUACUGAGGGAGCACUCUUAGGAGAAAGGGAGCGUAAGGGAAGUAGGGUGAGCCGGGAACGGACCAAGGCAUGGAGAGGGUCUCACGUGGGACCCAGAUACAGCUUGAUCUCUUGGGUAGCCCUGGAGCAUGGCCUGGACCACAGAACCAAUCCCACCUUGAAGCAAAGGAGCCAGGCUUUUGUACCCUCAUGUCAGUUGGUCAUUAGCUGCAGAUUUCUGCAGUGGGGUGGGGGGUGUGACUCCGUGGGUGAGGUCGCUCCCGGCUCCCGUUUGGCUGAGGACAAUUUUCUGGUAGUUCGCAGUUAGGUUCGCUGGCCUGUAAAGUGAUCCGGGCAGGACAUCAACAACUCCUAAGACGAUUUCAGUAAAUAACACCCAAUCCAUCAGUUGCUCAAGCCAGAAACCUGGGACUUAUUUUUGUCUUCUUCCUUUUCUUCAAUUCUCAGUCCAGUCAAUCUCCAAGAUAUGUCUUUAAUUUCCUAAUCACCCCAGUCACUUUUUUCUAUUCUCACCGUCACGACCCAAGUCGACAUCGCCACCAUCUAUUGUGUAUAUUCCUGCAACAGCCCUUAACUGGCCUCUGGUUUAUUAUCUGCAAGACAGCCAAGUUCAGCUUUCUAAAAUCCCCAUCUCUUCAUGUCACUUCCUUUAUUAACCCUUCAGUGGCUCCCAUCACUCUUAUGAUAAUUUUAAACUGCUUUAUGUGGCUUAAAAUAUCCUGCAUGACCUCGGUUCUACUCUCCUUUCCUGGUUCAGCUCUCACUACUUAAAAUCUCAAAAAGCUGACCCAAAUGGACUUCUUUUAGUUAUAUUCAAAUAUGCCACACACUGUCUUUACCCUCUGUCUUUGCACAUAUUUUUUCAUCUGCCUAGAACACCUUUGCUACCUCUCACCUGAUUACCUCAUGUGAAUCUUUAAGACUCUGCCAAGUUAUACUUGCCCCUGAGAAGCCCCCGAACACCUUGUACUCCACUAUCAUACCCUGCAUCAUGUGGCACUGCAGUGGCCUAUAUCUCCUCACUACAGUGCUUUCCCUCUAGCACCCCUUUCCUGAAUUUUUAAAGACAAGUUUCCUUCCAUUUUUCUCUUCUCUAGUGGUUUGGCAGUAAUACAUGCAAUUUCUACUCUUUAAUGGUUUAGCACGAACUCAUGUCUACUUAAAUCCCAAGCUCUGUGGCAGCAGAGAUGAUGCUUACAUUACUUACUGCUGUGUCAUCAGUGCUUGGUGUAUGGAUGGAGCUCAGUAAGUGUUUGCUAUGUAAAAUAAUAAAUGAAUAAAAGUAUCUCAUCUCCUUUUCAACUGCUGCUCUAGAUGCCAGCACCUGCAACUGUGCCUUGCAGAUACUCCAGCCCACCUCACCCCUCCCAGCACAAUGGUGAUUUUGGUCUUGAGAAGGUGGCAGACCUGUUUCCAGUUUUCUCCCUCAAGCCGGAAAGGGCAUACCUGGAGGAAUGAUGCAAGCCACUAGUCCCUGUUCCACACAACUUGAAAUGCAGCACAGAAAAUGAAUGCAGCCUGGGUUCAGCUGAUAAGCAGUAGCUGAGAAAUGGAGUGUCCUUAAAGGAGUCUGAUGGUUCCUUCCAGCUUUACCGGGGAACCCAGAGCCCUCAGCAGGUGAGUUGUGAUGGACCAUGUUUGCCUGGUACUGGCUUUCUCACGUGAACUGACCUACCUAAAAUUCUAGAGUGGGAACACAUAGAAAGACAGACCGUGUUGAUGGAUGGAGCCCAGCAUGGCCAUUCCCCGUAGAAUGGGAUGUUAUGAGGUCCAGACUGGUCCUCCCUUCCCACCCACAAAUGCACUCAGACCCAGUUUCCAAUGGAAUCUCUAGGGGUGAUGUGACUGGGAUACAGUCUUAAUCCCAGUAACCUGGAAAGCACGAGAGGAAGAGAAGCUGGUCUCAAAUUUGUGAU
Molecule: long non-coding RNA, 6992 nt
Organism: Balaenoptera ricei (Rice's whale)
Lineage: Eukaryota; Metazoa; Chordata; Mammalia; Artiodactyla; Balaenopteridae
Exons: 7
Source: RefSeq, a predicted model, not a curated record